CUGCAAUAUUUUUUUAUUAAAUUUCACAGUAAAUUUUUUGCAGCUGAUGUCCCACUGUACGCAGACACCACAUUCUGGUUAGCCUCAUACUAUGGAGAUGGUUGACGAGAUGUACGGCAAUAGUUUCAGGUGGUGAGCCGAGAUGUGCUGGCAAGGCCAAAGAGUCGGUUCGCUUAGAUCAGGCUGCUGGAGGCUCUUGCACUCGCAUGUCUGCUGGAGAUACGCAGUAGGAAAGCAUUGACCUAUUACGCUUGAUCUGAAGUCAUCGGCUUUUGACCCAAAGGAGAAAGUAUGGACAAGGUUCCCACUGGAAGGCUCAGAAUACACCCCUCCACAGAGUUCUUGUGAUUUCAGAUGGAAAGAUUACUGCCUCCAAGUAUUCUGGUUGUUCAAGGUUGAUGCAACAGAUUGUAUGCUAUCCCUUUGUGGGGACCAGGCUCUCCGAGGGCUCUCAUCCCCUGGUAAGAGUGGAAGCUUCUUUUAUCUCAUGAGCAAUUAUCAUUACAUGAGAAA
This is a long non-coding RNA of Triticum dicoccoides, 513 nucleotides long. RefSeq lists it as uncharacterized. The transcript has 4 exons. The record is from RefSeq and is a predicted model, not a curated record. NCBI's taxonomy places the organism in Eukaryota, Viridiplantae, Streptophyta, Magnoliopsida, Poales, Poaceae.